AUACGUAGGUGGCAAGCGUUGUCCGGAAUUAUUGGGCGUAAAGCGCGCGCAGGUGGUUCCUUAAGUCUGAUGUGAAAGCCCCCGGCUCAACCGGGGAGGGUCAUUGGAAACUGGGGAACUUGAGUGCAGAAGAGGAUAGUGGAAUUCCAAGUGUAGCGGUGAAAUGCGUAGAGAUUUGGAGGAACACCAGUGGCGAAGGCGACUGUCUGGGCUGUAACUGACGCUGAGGAGCGAAAGCGUGGGGAGCAAACAGGAUUAGAUACCCUGGUAGUCCACGCCGUAAACGAUGAGUGCUAAGUGUUGGGGGGUUUCCGCCCCUCAGUGCUGCAGCUAACGCAUUAAGCACUCCGCCUGGGGAGUACGGUCGCAAGACUGAAACUCAAAUGAAUUGACGGGG
Molecule: ribosomal RNA, 397 nt
Filed under: uncultured bacterium
Lineage: Bacteria
Description: partial 16S ribosomal RNA
Rfam family: Bacterial small subunit ribosomal RNA
Source: RNAcentral